This 548-nucleotide ribosomal RNA is filed under the name Xylaria sp. PIMO_424. RNAcentral describes it as "eukaryotic LSU rRNA". The stretch from base 184 to 337 matches the Rfam family "5.8S ribosomal RNA". Lineage: Eukaryota; Fungi; Ascomycota; Sordariomycetes; Xylariales; Xylariaceae. The record is from RNAcentral.
CAUUAAAGAGUUUUAUAACUCCCUAAAACCCAUGUGAACAUACCUUACGUUGCCUCGGCAGGUCGCGCCUACCCCGUAACGUCCUACCCUGUAGGACCUACCCGGUAGACACGGGUAAGCCUGCCGGCGGCCCACGAAACUCUGUUUAGUAUUGAAUUCUGAACCUAUAACUAAAUAAGUUAAAACUUUCAACAACGGAUCUCUUGGUUCUGGCAUCGAUGAAGAACGCAGCGAAAUGCGAUAAGUAAUGUGAAUUGCAGAAUUCAGUGAAUCAUCGAAUCUUUGAACGCACAUUGCGCCCAUUAGUAUUCUAGUGGGCAUGCCUGUUCGAGCGUCAUUUCAACCCUUAAGCCUCUGUUGCUUAGUGUUGGGAGCCUACGGUAUAGUAGCUCCUCAAAGUUAGUGGCAGAGUCGGUUCACACUCUAGACGUAGUAGAUUUUAUCUCGCCUAUUAGUUGGACCGGUCCCUUGCCGUAAAAACCCCCUAAUUUCUAAAGGUUGACCUCGGAUCAGGUAGGAAUACCCGCUGAACUUAAGCAUAUCAAUAA